CCAGGCCCACAUCACUUCUUGCUUUUGGCCCGGGCCUCUUCAAGGGUCAUGGAUAGGCCCAGGCCCACAUCACUUCUUGCUUUUGGCCCGGGCUGCUUCAAGGGUUGGGGAUAGACCCAUGCACACAUCACUUCAUUAGGCCCAGGCCUCUUCAACGGUUGGGGAUAGGCCCAGGCCCACAUCAAUUCUUCAUUAGGCCCAGAACUCUUCAAGGGUUAAGGAUAGGCCCAGGCCCACAUUGCUUCUUCAUUAGGCCCGGGCCUCUUCAAGAGUCAGAGAUAGGCCCAGGCCCACAUCACUUCUUGCUUUUGGCCCGGGCCUCUUCAAGGGUCAGGGAUAGGCCCAGGCCCAUAUCGCUUCUUGCAUUAGGCCCGGGCC
Molecule: long non-coding RNA, 378 nt
Filed under: Mus spicilegus (steppe mouse)
Lineage: Eukaryota; Metazoa; Chordata; Mammalia; Rodentia; Muridae
Description: lncRNA (ENSMSIG00000000136.1)
Source: RNAcentral